GACUAUAUUGUAGCCCCAACAAUAAAUACAUUAGCGACCCGAACAACAAACCCAACAAAUCACAAAAUAUCUGCUCUCACAAUAUUCCAGGUGAAGGUGCUCAUGACAAGGCGAAAAAGAUGAUGUUGAUGUUUUAUUGGACCAACAACAUGGUUAAACUGCCUUGUUCAAAGUCGCUGCCUGUCUGUCUUUGGGAACAUUGGCACUUCAACAUCAAUAAAUUAACAUGCGCAUUUGCUUUUAAUUAAAAUUCGAUAAUAUUUUGCCAUGCA
Long non-coding RNA from Drosophila erecta, 272 nucleotides. RefSeq lists it as uncharacterized. Lineage: Eukaryota; Metazoa; Arthropoda; Insecta; Diptera; Drosophilidae. The transcript is spliced from 2 exons. The record is from RefSeq and is a predicted model, not a curated record.